CGGGCUUUCGUGGUGUGACGGGCGGUGUGUACAAGGCCCGGGAACGUAUUCACCGCGUCGUGCUGAUACGUGAUUACUAGCGAUUCCUCCUUCAUGGAGUCGAGUUGCAGACUCCAAUCUGAACUUAGACCGGCUUUUUGGGUUUAGCUCUACCUCGCGGUGUGGCAUCCCUUUGUACCGGCCAUUGUAGCACGUGUGUAGCCCAGGACGUAAGGGGCAUGAUGACUUGACGUCAUCCCCGCCUUCCUCCCCGUUGACCGGGGCAGUUCCUCUAGAGUGCCCAGCAUGACCUGAUGGCAACAAGAGGUGAGGGUUGCGCUCGUUGCGGGACUUAACCCAACAUCUCACGACACGAGCUGAUGACAGCCAUGCACCACCUGUCUCCGCGCUCCCUUGCGGGCACCCCCUUCUUUCGAA
RNAcentral lists this ribosomal RNA (417 nucleotides) under uncultured bacterium. RNAcentral describes it as "partial 16S ribosomal RNA". The record is from RNAcentral.